ACCGGCAGCUCUAGUGGUAGCUGUUUUUAUUGGGCCUAAAGCGUUCGUAGCCGGUUUAAUAAGUCUCUGGUGAAAUCCUAUAGCUUAACUAUGGGACUUGCUGGAGAUACUAUUAGACUCGAGAUCGGGAGAGGUCAGAGGUACUCCCAGGGUAGGGGUGAAAUCCUGUAAUCCUGGGAGGACCGCCUGUGGCGAAGGCGUCUGACUGGAACGAAUCUGACGGUGAGGAACGAAAGCUAGGGGCGCGAACCG
Molecule: ribosomal RNA, 252 nt
Filed under: uncultured bacterium
Lineage: Bacteria
Also listed under: 1 other name
Description: partial 16S ribosomal RNA
Rfam family: Archaeal small subunit ribosomal RNA
Source: RNAcentral